GGCCGCUGGAUGUCACCCUUGUGCCGUGCGUGCCCGGGCUGUCCCCUCCGCGGGCAGCGCGCUGGCUGCGCACACGCGUGUGCCCGCGGCCGCGCAGCUCCGUGCGCACACGCAGAGACACGCGGGGCCCCGGCGGCUCCGUCCCCCCGGCGGGCUCCGUCCCCCCGGCAGGCUCCGUCCCCCCGGCGGGCUCCGUCCCCCCGGGAUUUCCCAACUCCUGGCCGGACGCGGCGCCCCUGCAGCCCCCCCCGCCCUGCCCCGACCUUUGCACGAAUCCCCCAGCGCGGCCGUCGGGAGGGUAUAAAGAGGGAGCCGGGGCUGCCCCCGCGCCAUAGGCACAGCCAUGAAGGCGUCGCUGCUGUUCCUGCUCGCCUGCACGGCCGUCCUGGCGGUGGGAGCAAGGGCCGACUCGCCCGAGGAGCCGAAGGCGCUGGUGCAGAAGGUGCAGGAGCUGACCCAGAAAGCCACGGCCAUGGCCAAGGACGCCUUCAGCAGGGUGCGGGAGUCGGAGGCGGCAAAGCAGGCCAGGCAGUGGCUGUCGGACAACGCGGAGCUGGCGAAGCAGCGGCUGGCGUGGCUGAAGGAGCAGCUGGCGGAGCUGCUGAAGAAGACUCCGGCCGCGUAGCCUCACCGGGGGCUGCUCGGGGUCUGUCGGGGCCGGGGACCCCCCGGCUCCCCCCCGCUGUCGUGGUGCUCUCAAUAAAGCAGGGCUGAGGCAAACGCUGCGGUGCCGUCUCUGGGGGCUGGCAGGGAGGAGUGUGACCCGCAGGGGGACCGGGCUGGGGCGGACGCGAGCACUGGGGUACACACGGCCGUGUUGGGGUGCUCGGGGUGACAGCAGCCGAG
Molecule: long non-coding RNA, 846 nt
Filed under: Lonchura striata (white-rumped munia)
Lineage: Eukaryota; Metazoa; Chordata; Aves; Passeriformes; Estrildidae
Description: domestica (Bengalese finch) lncRNA (ENSLSDG00000007120.1)
Source: RNAcentral